CCUGCGGAGGGAUCAUUACCGAGUUUACAACUCCCAAACCCCUGUGAACAUACCAAUUGUUGCCUCGGCGGAUCAGCCCGCUCCCGGUAAAACGGGACGGCCCGCCAGAGGACCCCCUAAACUCUGUUUCUAUAUGUAACUUCUGAGUAAAACCAUAAAUAAAUCAAAACUUUCAACAACGGAUCUCUUGGUUCUGGCAUCGAUGAAGAACGCAGCAAAAUGCGAUAAGUAAUGUGAAUUGCAGAAUUCAGUGAAUCAUCGAAUCUUUGAACGCACAUUGCGCCCGCCAGUAUUCUGGCGGGCAUGCCUGUUCGAGCGUCAUUUCAACCCUCAAGCACAGCUUGGUGUUGGGACUCGCGUUAACCCGCGUUCCCCAAAUUGAUUGGCGGUCACGUCGAGCUUCCAUAGCGUAGUAGUAAAACCCUCGUUACUGGUAAUCGUCGCGGCCACGCCGUUAAACCCCAACUUCUGAAUGUUGACCUCGGAUCAGGUAGGAAUACCCGCUGAACUUAAGCAUAUCAAUAAG
RNAcentral lists this ribosomal RNA (526 nucleotides) under fungal sp. RNAcentral describes it as "eukaryotic LSU rRNA". The stretch from base 168 to 321 matches the Rfam family "5.8S ribosomal RNA". The record is from RNAcentral. Lineage: Eukaryota; Fungi.